GGGUUGUGAGGUUAAGCGACUAAGCGUACACGGUGGAUGCCCUGGCAGUCAGAGGCGAUGAAGGACGUGCUAAUCUGCGAUAAGCGCCGGUAAGGUGAUAUGAACCGUUAUAACCGGCGAUUUCCGAAUGGGGAAACCCAGUGUGACUCGUCACACUAUCAUUAACUGAAUCCAUAGGUUAAUGAGGCGAACCGGGGGAACUGAAACAUCUAAGUACCCCGAGGAAAAGAAAUCAACCGAGAUUCCCCCAGUAGCGGCGAGCGAACGGGGAGGAGCCCAGAGCCUGAAUCAGCAUGUGUGUUAGUGGAAGCGUCUGGAAAGGCGCGCGAUACAGGGUGACAGCCCCGUACACAAAAGCGCAUGUGCUGUGAGCUCGAUGAGUAGGGCGGGACACGUGGUAUCCUGUCUGAAUAUGGGGGGACCAUCCUCCAAGGCUAAAUACUCCUGACUGACCGAUAGUGAACCAGUACCGUGAGGGAAAGGCGAAAAGAACCCCGGCGAGGGGAGUGAAAAAGAACCUGAAACCGUGUACGUACAAGCAGUGGGAGCACCCUUUGGGGUGUGACUGCGUACCUUUUGUAUAAUGGGUCAGCGACUUAUAUUCUGUAGCAAGGUUAACCGAAUAGGGGAGCCGGAGGGAAACCGAGUCUUAAUUGGGCGUUAAGUUGCAGGGUAUAGACCCGAAACCCGGUGAUCUAGCCAUGGGCAGGUUGAAGGUUGGGUAACACUAACUGGAGGACCGAACCGACUAAUGUUGAAAAAUUAGCGGAUGACCUGUGGCUGGGGGUGAAAGGCCAAUCAAACCGGGAGAUAGCUGGUUCUCCCCGAAAGCUAUUUAGGUAGCGCCUCGUGAAUUCAUCUCCGGGGGUAGAGCACUGUUUCGGCUAGGGGGCCAUCCCGGCUUACCAACCCGAUGCAAACUGCGAAUACCGGAGAAUGUUAUCACGGGAGACACACGGCGGGUGCUAACGUCCGUCGUGAAGAGGGAAACAACCCAGACCGCCAGCUAAGGUCCCAAAGUCAUGGUUAAGUGGGAAACGAUGUGGGAAGGCCCAGACAGCCAGGAUGUUGGCUUAGAAGCAGCCAUCAUUUAAAGAAAGCGUAAUAGCUCACUGGUCGAGUCGGCCUGCGCGGAAGAUGUAACGGGGCUAAACCAUGCACCGAAGCUGCGGCAGCGAACGUAUCACUUAAAGCGAUUCAGCGGGUUACGAUUGACGGAGCGAAGCGACGUCAAAGCGUAUACAAAGUCGAGUCGGUUUAAGGAUACGUUCGUUGGGUAGGGGAGCGUUCUGUAAGCCUGUGAAGGUGGCCUGUGAGGGUUGCUGGAGGUAUCAGAAGUGCGAAUGCUGACAUAAGUAACGAUAAAGCGGGUGAAAAGCCCGCUCGCCGGAAGACCAAGGGUUCCUGUCCAACGUUAAUCGGGGCAGGGUGAGUCGACCCCUAAGGCGAGGCCG
This 1454-nucleotide ribosomal RNA is filed under the name Salmonella enterica subsp. enterica serovar Typhimurium. RNAcentral's name for it is "partial 23S ribosomal RNA". It matches the Rfam family "Bacterial large subunit ribosomal RNA", at positions 1 to 1404 of the family's 2925-position model. The record is from RNAcentral. Lineage: Bacteria; Pseudomonadati; Pseudomonadota; Gammaproteobacteria; Enterobacterales; Enterobacteriaceae.